This 73-nucleotide transfer RNA is filed under the name Ignavibacteriota bacterium. Its description in RNAcentral is "tRNA-Ala". It matches the Rfam family "tRNA". From Rfam's summary of the family: Transfer RNA (tRNA) molecules are approximately 80 nucleotides in length. Their secondary structure includes four short double-helical elements and three loops (D, anti-codon, and T loops). The record is from RNAcentral. RNAcentral also lists the same sequence under 2 other names. Lineage: Bacteria; Pseudomonadati; Ignavibacteriota.
GGGGCUGUAGCUCAGUUGGGAGAGCGGUUCGUUCGCAACGAACAGGCCGAGGGUUCGAAUCCCUUCAGCUCCA